This 429-nucleotide ribosomal RNA is filed under the name uncultured bacterium. Its description in RNAcentral is "bacterial SSU rRNA". It matches the Rfam family "Bacterial small subunit ribosomal RNA", at positions 355 to 775 of the family's 1533-position model. The record is from RNAcentral.
UGGGGAAUUUUUCGCAAUGGGCGAAAGCCUGACGAAGCAACGCCGCGUGGAGGAUGAAGGCCUUCGGGUCGUAAACUCCUGUCGACCGGGACGAAAGUAGGAUGGCCUAAUACGCCGAUCUAUUGACUGUACCGGUGGAGGAAGCCACGGCUAACUCUGUGCCAGCAGCCGCGGUAAUACAGAGGUGGCAAGCGUUGUUCGGAAUUACUGGGCGUAAAGGGCGCGUAGGCGGCUUGGUCAGUCCCGUGUGAAAUCCCUCGGCUCAACUGAGGAACUGCACGGGAAACUGCCUGGCUUGAGUUCGGGAGAGGGAAGCGGAAUUCCGGGUGUAGCGGUGAAAUGCGUAGAUAUCCGGAGGAACACCGGUGGCGAAGGCGGCUUCCUGGACCGACACUGACGCUGAGGCGCGAAAGCUAGGGGAGCAAACGG